RNAcentral lists this transfer RNA (32 nucleotides) under Thambetochen chauliodous. RNAcentral's name for it is "partial tRNA-Lys". Lineage: Eukaryota; Metazoa; Chordata; Aves; Anseriformes; Anatidae. RNAcentral also lists the same sequence under 1 other name. The record is from RNAcentral.
CUAGCUAGAGAGGAAUCACCCCUCCUUAAUGG